GUGAAUCAUCAAAUUUUUGAACGCAAAUUGCACUCUCUUCGGAGAGUAUGCCUGUUUGAGGGUCAGCCUAAAAAAAUCGACAUCGUUGCUUUUUCGCGGUUACGUUCGUCGGAAAUUGGGGCAUCUUAAAUCUUUUUGUUUAAGCGACUUAAAAUUUUCUUGAUUCCAUGAACGUUUUUAAGAUUUUAUAUCUUUAAACGGUUAAGGUAU
This 210-nucleotide unclassified non-coding RNA is filed under the name Glomus sp. RNAcentral describes it as "partial contains 5.8S ribosomal RNA and internal transcribed spacer 2". The stretch from base 1 to 65 matches the Rfam family "5.8S ribosomal RNA", at positions 84 to 154 of the family's 154-position model. Lineage: Eukaryota; Fungi; Glomeromycota; Glomeromycetes; Glomerales; Glomeraceae. The record is from RNAcentral.